Molecule: long non-coding RNA, 793 nt
Organism: Triticum dicoccoides
Lineage: Eukaryota; Viridiplantae; Streptophyta; Magnoliopsida; Poales; Poaceae
Exons: 2
Source: RefSeq, a predicted model, not a curated record
CUAGGCACCAGACGAGCAGAAGCACAAACGUAGGAGGUAUCCAACAACGGCAACCGCAACGCCAUUCCACUUAAACCUGGAGACCAGAGAAAGGAUGCGGAAAAUUUACCUUGAAAUUUGUCACAUGCAAACUGGAGGAAGGGGCAAUAAGCAGAGAAUUCCCCUCAAGAUGUGAACUGCAUUGAUGCCCUCGGUAUGUGUGUUGCUACUGCUGAAUGAUGCUCCCUUGUCGUUGUUGCUAUAGUACGAUUUAGUACAGCUUGUCUAAAUGGGUUAGAAGAGGGGUUAUGAAAUGUUUUGUUGGAGUUUAAAUAUUCUUUCACGUAUUAAACUGAUAAGUUGUGCACUUUUGCUGCUGUUAGAUAAACUGACUACUCUGUACUGUUGGAUAGCCAUGGUAUGUGUUAGUUUUAUUUUACCACAAAAGUUUCUUGGGAGUUGGGAUAUCAGGUGUAUUCAUUACUUUUCCUAUGAAUAUAUUCUAUUUUGGUGCACUGUAUAUCUAUCUAAUCUAUCUAUCCAAGUUUUCAAAGAAAUUGAUGGCGGCGGCUCGGCCGUGUCGUGGUGAAUGGCGAAGCUUCGAAACUGAACAUGAGAAAGGUGUUGACGCGCGGCUGGGAGACGUACAUACUUGAGGAAAUAUGAUUCAUAAGGUUUCAUAUUAACGAAAACUGAUAAUCUGAACAUUUUGUUUAUUCCUGGAUGACUUUAUUCUCCAAUAUGAAUAUGUAAGAAAAGAUAUGACAUACAUUUGUGUAAAUUGAUAAUGUAGGGUCAUCUCGAAACUUUAUUA